GUGGGCGUGCCGGAGUGGUUAUUGGGCAUGACUAGAAAUCAUGUGGGCUUUGCCCGCGCAGGUUCGAAUCCUGCCGCUCACG
RNAcentral lists this transfer RNA (82 nucleotides) under Ipomoea nil (Japanese morning glory). It matches the Rfam family "tRNA". Rfam says of the family: Transfer RNA (tRNA) molecules are approximately 80 nucleotides in length. The record is from Rfam by way of RNAcentral. Lineage: Eukaryota; Viridiplantae; Streptophyta; Magnoliopsida; Solanales; Convolvulaceae.